CUAACACAUGCAAGUCGAGCGGAAACGAGUUAUCUGAACCUUCGGGGAACGAUAACGGCGUCGAGCGGCGGACGGGUGAGUAAUGCCUAGGAAAUUGCCUUGAUGUGGGGGAUAACCAUUGGAAACGAUGGCUAAUACCGCAUAAUGCCUACGGGCCAAAGAGGGGGACCUUCGGGCCUCUCGCGUCAAGAUAUGCCUAGGUGGGAUUAGCUAGUUGGUGAGGUAAUGGCUCACCAAGGCGACGAUCCCUAGCUGGUCUGAGGGGAUGAUCAGCCACACUGGAACUGAGACACGGUCCAGACUCCUACGGGAGGCAGCAGUGGGGAAUAUUGCACAAUGGGCGCAAGCCUGAUGCAGCCAUGCCGCGUGUAUGAAGAAGGCCUUCGGGUUGUAAAGUACUUUCAGCAGUGAGGAAGGGGGUGUCGUUAAUAGCGGCAUCUCCUGACGUUAGCUGCAGAAGAAGCACCGGCUAACUCCGUGCCAGCAGCCGCGGUAAUACGGAGGGUGCGAGCGUUAAUCGGAAUUACUGGGCGUAAAGCGCAUGCAGGUGGUUCAUUAAGUCAGAUGUGAAAGCCCGGGGCUCAACCUCGGAACUGCAUUUGAAACUGGUGAACUAGAGUACUGUAGAGGGGGGUAGAAUUUCAGGUGUAGCGGUGAAAUGCGUAGAGAUCUGAAGGAAUACCAGCGGCGAAGGCGGCCCCCUGGACAGAUACUGACACUCAGAUGCGAAAGCGUGGGGAGCAAACAGGAUUAGAUACCCUGGUAGUCCACGCCGUAAACGAUGUCUACUUGGAGGUUGUGGCCUUGAGCCGUGGCUUUCGGAGCUAACGCGUUAAGUAGACCGCCUGGGGAGUACGGUCGCAAGAUUAAAACUCAAAUGAAUUGACGGGGGCCCGCACAAGCGGUGGAGCAUGUGGUUUAAUUCGAUGCAACGCGAAGAACCUUACCUACUCUUGACAUCCAGAGAACUUAGCAGAGAUGCUUUGGUGCCUUCGGGAACUCUGAGACAGGUGCUGCAUGGCUGUCGUCAGCUCGUGUGUGAAAUGUUGGGUAAGUCCCGCACGAGCGCAACCCUAUCCUGUUUGCCAGCGAGUAUGUCGGGACUCCAGGGAGACUGCCGUGAUAAACGGAGAGGUGGGACGACGUCAGUCAUCAUGUCUUACGAGUAGGCUUCCCACGUGCCUACAUGGCGCAUACAGAAGGGCUGCCAACUCUCGC
Molecule: ribosomal RNA, 1218 nt
Filed under: uncultured bacterium
Lineage: Bacteria
Description: bacterial SSU rRNA
Rfam family: Bacterial small subunit ribosomal RNA
Source: RNAcentral